Long non-coding RNA from Zingiber officinale, 591 nucleotides. RefSeq lists it as uncharacterized. The transcript is spliced from 3 exons. NCBI's taxonomy places the organism in Eukaryota, Viridiplantae, Streptophyta, Magnoliopsida, Zingiberales, Zingiberaceae. The record is from RefSeq and is a predicted model, not a curated record.
GGUUCUUAACGCCUUCCCCUACCCUUGGCUGACCUCCACACUCCCCCUUGCUGCCGGCUAGCUCCCUCAUGUUUUAGGUCAAGUUUGAUUUAACCUCUUCAAAGAACAUGUUGAAAUGACAAAAAAGAUUUGUGGCAAUGCAAAUGUCCGUUACGCAUGGCUUGCUUCCUCCAAGGAUGCGGUGGAUGAGAUGAUGUCUCAUGGGGUUCUGAAGCAACCUGUGCAUAAAUGACUUUAUGGAAAUGGACUUCAUCUUGCCCUUACAAAUUGCUAUGAUAUCUGCAUUGCGUAAGCUUUGUGAAGAUGCUUCGGCAGUUAUGCAGGAUCUAUAAAAUCUUGAAGUUUUGAUCUGGAUAGGCGAGAUACACAGUGGUAGGUGUUUUGUCCCAGUCUCAAGCCGUCAAUCCAUUUUGAUCAAUAUAUCUAGUAGAAGUAAGCAUGCAGAUCGUUGUCUUCGAGGCCGGCUAGCUGUUUUGUGUUUUUUUUUUGUUUUAAAUUUGAAUGUCACUAACUACUUUGAAACAGAAAUAUUUAGUCUUUGUGUAUAGUUGAAUUCUCCUGUAAAUACUAAUACUUUGUAGUUGAAUUCUA